This 209-nucleotide long non-coding RNA is filed under the name Elaeis guineensis (African oil palm). Its description in RNAcentral is "long non-coding RNA (EGUI_LNC061810)". Lineage: Eukaryota; Viridiplantae; Streptophyta; Magnoliopsida; Arecales; Arecaceae. The record is from RNAcentral.
GGUGCCAGCUCCCUUGCAGAGAUCGCAUCUGAUGGUUGAAAAUCUUCUUUUCUCUCAAGACAAUCUUAGAGAAGAAGAAGAACAUAAGAGGAUGUUGAUCUCUAUGCUAGAGAUCAUGAGAAGAACCCUUUCAUCUCCUUUCUUCCUAAAAUCUAUGCACCAAAUCUCUACAAUAGAGAUAUAAAAAUUUUUGUCCAACUUUUGGACAA